This 468-nucleotide ribosomal RNA is filed under the name uncultured bacterium. RNAcentral's name for it is "partial 16S ribosomal RNA". It matches the Rfam family "Bacterial small subunit ribosomal RNA", at positions 28 to 507 of the family's 1533-position model. The record is from RNAcentral.
GACGAACGCUGGCGGCGUGCUUAACACAUGCAAGUCGAACGGAAAGGCCCUGCUUUUGUGGGGUGCUCGAGUGGCGAACGGGUGAGUAACACGUGAGUAACCUGCCCUUGACUUUGGGAUAACUUCAGGAAACUGGGGCUAAUACCGGAUAGGAGCUCCUGCUGCAUGGUGGGGGUUGGAAAGUUUCGGCGGUUGGGGAUGGACUCGCGGCUUAUCAGCUUGUUGGUGGGGUAGUGGCUUACCAAGGCUUUGACGGGUAGCCGGCCUGAGAGGGUGACCGGCCACAUUGGGACUGAGAUACGGACCAGACUCCUACGGGAGGCAGCAGUGGGGAAUAUUGCGCAAUGGGCGGAAGCCUGAUGCAGCAACGCCGCGUGCGUGAUGACGGCCUUCGGGUUGUAAACCGCUUUCGCCUGUGACGAAGCGUGAGUGACGGUAAUGGGUAAAGAAGCACCGGCUAACUACGUG